GAUGAACGCUGGCGGCGUGCCUAAUACAUGCAAGUCGAGCGAACGGACGAGAAGCUUGCUUCUCUGAUGUUAGCGGCGGACGGGUGAGUAACACGUGGAUAACCUACCUAUAAGACUGGGAUAACUUCGGGAAACCGGAGCUAAUACCGGAUAAUAUUUUGAACCGCAUGGUUCAAAAGUGAAAGACGGUCUUGCUGUCACUUAUAGAUAGAUCCGCGCUGCAUUAGGUAGUUGGUAAGGUAACGGGUUACCAAGGCAACGAUGCAUAGCCGACCGGAGAGGGUGAUCGGCCACACUGGAACUGAGACACGGUCCAGGCUCCUACGGGAGGCAGCAGUAGGGAAUCUUCCGCAAUGGGCGAAAGCCUGACGGAGCAACGCCGCGUGAGUGAUGAAGGUCUUCGGAUCGUAAACCUCUGUUAUUAGGGAAGAACAUAUGUGUAAGUAACUGUGCACAUCUUGACGGUACCUAAUCAGAAAGCCACGGCUAACUACGUG
RNAcentral lists this ribosomal RNA (497 nucleotides) under uncultured bacterium. Its description in RNAcentral is "partial 16S ribosomal RNA". It matches the Rfam family "Bacterial small subunit ribosomal RNA", at positions 28 to 507 of the family's 1533-position model. The record is from RNAcentral.